Molecule: RNA transcript, 5780 nt
Organism: Rhincodon typus (whale shark)
Lineage: Eukaryota; Metazoa; Chordata; Chondrichthyes; Orectolobiformes; Rhincodontidae
Gene: apbb1
Gene name: amyloid beta (A4) precursor protein-binding, family B, member 1 (Fe65)
Exons: 17
Source: RefSeq, a predicted model, not a curated record
GGGGAAAGACCACAGGGGAGUUCUCAUGUUGCUGAGUUCUCUUUUUCUGCCUGGUGGUCAUCCGUUUCCCACCCCGCCUGUGGACUCCUGGCAUGCGGAGUGUCCAUUUCUCUGGUGAUCGAGGCGCUAUGUCUGGCUCUGUCAGUAACCAGACAGGCCUGGUGAAUGUCACCAGCUGUGUGACCCCAACACUGACGCUCAACCUGCGCUCAUCACACAACGAGCUGCUUAAUGCUGACAUCAAGAGAUCGACGCCACCCAAAGGCCGUAAGGUUUAUGCUUCUACUGACCUUCAGACUGCCAUGGGACUGGCUGAUGAGACUGCCAAUAGCAAGUGGCUGAAGGACGGGCGAAAUCAGAUGCGCAAGGCCGCCGAGAACGAGAGAAAAGACCAGAAUUGGAACGUUACCUCGAGAACGGAAGAGAUUGAGAGCUCUGCAAAGAAGGAGCAACAAGAAUCAGUAGACAAGGAGCAAGCAGUGAACCAGGCUGGUUCCCAAAGUAAAGGCUUCCUCAGUUACUACAUGGGCCUGGAACUUUCCCUCAAUGCAUGUGGUGGGAAUUCUGACAAAGGACAACCACUGGUCAUCCAGUUGGAUCAGGGAGACUUUGAGGCAUGUGAGUCAGACUCAGCAAGUCAACCGUCUGAAAUCCGGUCAGGUUCCAAAAUGCAUGGAGAGCAGCCACUGGAAGAUGCAAAAGCCGGACUGACCAACCCAUUGGAGGCACCCAGUGACCAUCGGAAAAGCUCAUGUCUGUUAUUUGGAAUGAAAAAUACAGCAGCUAGUGAUGAGGACUCGAGUUGGACCAGCCUUUCCCAAGGCAGUGCUUCUUGGAGUUCCCCUGACGAUAUAGAUCCUAUCUGGAAUCGGAAUUCAUUUGAGACAGAUGCAGACCUGCCCUCUGGCUGGAUGCGGGUACGAGACACCUCGGGGACCUAUUACUGGCACAUUCCAACGGGAACAACUCAGUGGGAGCCGCCGCCACCUGCCUGUGACCAGGAAUCAGGAUCUCGGAAACCUUCUGUCAUGUCACAGUGUACGACUCCCUUGGAGGAUCAACAGCUGACUUGGACUGGUUUAACUGUGGGUGAGAAGUGUGUUGGAGUCGACAUGUGGAAGGAGAUCCAAACCACAACUGAGACCUCAGAUACAAGUCUGAAAGAAUUUGAGGGGGCAACACUAAGAUACGCAUCUUUGAAUCUCGGAGGCCAAACAGAAGAGGAUAAUUACAAAAAUAUCCUAAAUACCGAUGAUGAGUCAAAGUGUUUUUCCGUCCGAUCCCUUGGUUGGGUAGAGAUGUUGGAGGAGGACCUCGCUCCAGGAAAGAGCAGCAUUGCUGUCAACAACUGUAUACGACAGCUGUCCUACCACAAGAACAACCUGCACGAUGCUGCAGGAACCUGGGGGGAGGGUAAAGACAUGCUGCUACUGCUUGAAGACGACACGCUGAACCUCAUCGAUCCCCUGGGCCAGAAUUUGCUACACACACAACCGAUUGUUAGCAUCCGGGUAUGGGGUGUCGGCCGGGACAGUGGGCGGGAUUUUGCCUAUGUCGCCAGAGACAAACUGACGCGUGUACUGAAAUGUCACGUAUUCCGCUGUGACCUGCCGGCAAAGGCCAUUGCCACCAGACUGCAUGAAAUCUGCUCAAAGAUCAUGGCUGACAGGAAAGAUACCAAGACCUCGAUGAACGGGAUGCUGUUUGACCAUUCAAAGCUUGUUGAUGUCCCAUUCCAAGUGGAGUUUCCAGUGCCCAAGAGUGAGCUUGUUCAAAGAUUCCAAGUGCUGUACUUGGGAAAUAUUCCAGUGACCAAGCCUGUAGGUAUGGAUGUGAUAAACAGUGCGCUGGAGAACACUAUUCAAAGCAGCUGUAAAGAGAACUGGACUCCAGUCAUCGUCAAUGUGGCUUCAGCGACUCUCACUAUUAUCAGUGAGGAGAGUGAAGAGGUUCUGUCAGAAUGCCGAGUGCGUUUCCUCUCCUUUAUGGGUGUUGGCCGAGAUGUCCACUCCUUUGCCUUCAUUAUGGCUGCUGGUCCUGAUCAGUUUGAUUGUCACAUGUUCUGGUGUGAACCCAAUGCUGCUGGCCUAUCAGAGGCUGUGCAGGCAGCGUGCAUGCUGCGAUAUCAGAAGUGUUUGGAUGCUCGGCCUCCAGGACUCGGCAACUCACUGACUGUGCCAUGUGCAGAUUCUGUCGCCAGGAGAGUUGGUUCCAGUGUUAAGAAGGGGGUUCAGUCCCUCCUGGGAUCCUUCAAACCCAAACGGUCUGGAUCCCAGACUCCCUAACAGCUCCAAGGAUAAGAUUGGACCUGCACUUGUGGACUCUUUCCUCUUAAAUAACAAACUGCCAACAAGAACAAUUCAAAUUCAUGUGCCAACUAACUCCAUGGCAGGUCAACUGCAGAACUUUCUGAGUACCCUCACUGGACAGAGAGAACAGAGCAGUGUUAUAGGCUGAGGCAUAAGCCCUGAUUCCCUCCGGAUCCAAGAUGAGGGAGCUGUCGUCGGUGAGCAACACAAGGAGCUGCUGACACACCCCUGCCUUUUCUCCAGUGAGUAAAAGAAGGGGGACCCACAAUCCAGAUCCCAGAGGAACCAGAUCCAUGACCUCAGGAACUUGAAGCUCUCGACCACCUCCACCUCAGCACCACUGACACAGCAGGGGUGUGUACUCCACUGUGCUCCUGAAUUCGAUGGCCAGCUCCUUCAUUUUGCUGACACUGAGGGAGAGAUUGUUGUCAUUACACCAGGACAGAGGAAAAUCCUUGAAUUCUCUACUGAUCAAGAAUCCACGUCAGCCUUAAAUAUACACAAGUUCUCAAUGGAAAGAUCAUAAAGAUGGUUAGAAAGUUCAUGAUUCAGGGAGAGGACUCCUGGCCCAGGAAGUAGGCACAGAUACAAGGCAAUGAAAGAAGAGUUCACCAUUGUGCCUUGUCUGAAAUUCAUUUGAAAUUCAUGCAGGUUAGUUUGAUCUUGGGGUAGGAUAAUAGGUCAGCACAACAUUGUGGGCCAAAGGGCCUGUACUCUGCUGUACUGUUCUAUGUUCUAUGAUCAUUGAGGUGGUGGGUGCAGGAGGAUAAAACAGUGUGUUCUGAUUCUAGCUGACGGUACCAAAGGACAUGUCAGAUCCCAGAGUGGAGUCUGCCUUAAUAGAUCGUAGCCAGUGUGGUAGUUCAUCAUUGAGACAGUCACACAAGGGUGCAGACAGAAACAUAGAAAAUAGGAGCAGGAGUUAGCCAGUCACCUCUUCAAGUUUACUCCACCAUUCAGUGUGAUCAUAGUUGUCACUGAACCCAGUUCCCUUUUCCUUUUUCUCUUUAUGUACUUUGAUCCCUUUAUCUAAUCUAAUUCCUUGAAAACAUUGUGUUUUGGCCUCAAACACUUUCUGUGGCAGAGAAUUCUACAGGUUCACCACAGUCUGGGUGAAGACAUUUCUCCUCAGCUCAGUCCUACAGUGUGCACUCUGUAUCCUUAGACUGUGAUCCAUACUUCUGUACAAUCAUUGGGAACAUCUUUCCUGCAUUUACCCUGUCCUAGUCCUCUUAGGAUUUUAUAGAUUUCUAUGAGAUCACCCCUCAGUCUAAUCAGCUCCAGCGAAUAUACUCCUAACUGAUCAGAGUCUCUUCAUACCCCAGGAAUCAGUCUAGUAAAUUUUCAUGGCACUCCCUUGCUUCCUCAGGUAAGCAGAUGAAAACUGCACAGAAUACCCAGCCCAAGACAUCCCUGCUCCUGUACUUGAAUUGUCUCACCACGAAAGUAAACAUACCUUUGCCUUCUUCACUAAAAAAUCCUUAGACAACACCGUCCAAACCUAUGACUACCGUAGAAGGACAAGGGCAGCAGAUACACAGGAACACCAUCCCCUCCAAGAUCCCCAUCCAAGCCACUCACCAUCCUGACUUGGAAAUAUAUCCCCAUUCUUUCACUAUUGCUUGAUUAAAAUCCUGGAAAUCUCCCCAAGGGCAUUGUGGAUCUGCCAGCAGCACAUGGACUGCAGCGGUUCAAGAAGGCAGCUCACCCCUACCUUCUCAAGGGGGCAACUAGGGACGGGUAUUAAAUGCUGGACCAGACGGUGAUGACAUGUUUUAUGAAUGAAUGAAAAAAUACACCUGCAGCACCUGUGUACUAUUUAGGCCUAUACUUGGUAGAGCUUUGAAAAAUGACAGGAGAUAAAAUUGAGGUAAACAAGAUGCUAACGAGAACUGAUAAAUCUUUUGUUUAUGCUGUAGAAGGUUAGUUACUACUGUAACAGUUGAAUGUGAUCUCAUGCUACCUAGAAAAUGGUAACUUUGGAAUACCAAAAGCACACAGAGUUUUAAAGGGGGCCCAAUUUCCAAAUCCUAGGGGAGAUAGGGUGAAACAUUUCUCAAAGAAGUGUCAAUAACCAGGGGCACAGUUUCAAGGGAAAGUGCAGGUGAUUUUGAAGGAAUUUGAAGAACAGCUCUUUCACUCAAGGGUUGGGGGUAUCUGGAACUCAGUGCCUAACAGGAUGAUGGAGACAGGAACCCUCAAGACAUUUAAAAACUAUAUGAACACUUGAAAUGACAGGUUAUAACAACGCCGUGGGCCAAGAGCUGAAAAAAUGGGAUUAGAAUACAUGGAUGUUUGAUGACUGGCAUGUACACAAUGGGCUGAUGGUGCCUCUUUCUGUGCUGCAAACUCUAUGACAUAGUAGAACAAUGAUCCCCCCUUAUGGGGUAAUCUAGAAUGAGAGAUCAUAGUUUAGUCUGAUGUGGGGGGAUUUAAAACAGAGAUAGAGGAGGAGGUACAUUUCUCAAAGGAUCAUCAAUCUGUGCGAUUCACCAGCCCAGAGUGCAAUGGAUGCUUGGACACUGAACAAAUCUGAGAAAACAGAUUUUAAUUAGUAAUGGGUUAAAGAGUUGUGGGGAGCAGGCAGGAAAAUGAAAUGAGAUCAGCCAUGGUCAUAAUGGUGGAGCAGGCUCGAGGGGUUGAAUUGCCUACUCCUGCUCCUAAUUUUUACAUUGUUACUUUCAGCAUCUGGUGUACACUGUUAGGGCUGCCCAUGACUGAGUAGCACAAAAUGGCCGAUGGCUACCCAUUGUUAGUGCAGCAGAAUAUGGCUGACAAUAGUUAAAGACCUUGGGAAAACAUUUGCUUUACAUAAUCUUCACAACUAGAACAAUACUAGCUCUGUAGACUCAAGGUUACUGGACUGAGAUAGAAUGUGCAGCAGCAAUUGUUAACACGCAAGACAUAGAUAAGACAUUUAAUAAGUAAAUUUCUCUUGUAUUAUUUAAUCUGUUACAAUGGUUAGAGUAGGUUUUAGUAAAGAUUCUUCAAAUAAUCAUAGAUUAUAGAUUCCAAAGUAGUUAUAGAUCCACCUAUAUACAAAAAAAAGCAUUAGAAGAAAAGAUUCAAACCAGUUCCAGACAGUAAAAGUAGCCCCCAUUUCAUUACAGGGAGAGAAGAGAUUCUGGUAACAUCAUGAAACCAUGUAGGAUUGGGGGUAGACCACAAACCUGUCCAUCUCUUUAUAAUUCAGUGAUAUGAUUAGCUUAAUUAGAAAUACACUGAAAUUGCCAAGUGUGGCAGUACUUACUUUGGGUUCAGAACAAAACAGCUCAGUUGCAAAGGGACAAGUCAGCACUGCUGACUUAUAGUAAACAAAGCGGGCGAGUGGGGUAGGCUGUGUGUCCACUUUAAGCUUAAGCUGUAUAAAAUAAGCGACUUAGAAACUUUUUGUGUGCCUUAUUUCUCCAGAGAAAUGAAGCUGUACUGAAAAUAAAGCUGCAAUAAAGGUUACCUGAUGCCACCCUGCAA